UGAACAUUUUGGUAUCCGUGGGAAGUUCCUAGAAUUAAUCACCUGGAGAUAUCAAAGGAUGACUGCAUAUAAGAAAAAGAAGAAGUGAAUUAGACACCAAGUCCCUCUUAUGUGCCUGAACUUGAGGAAAAUAUUUCAUAAAGAACACCUCAUAUUACCAUUCACCUAUGCAGCAUCUUUUACAAGCACUGAACUCUUACAAAACUUCAAGCCACUGUUCCAAAUUGGUUCAACCAUGAAUACUGCUUCCCAGGAGACUGCAGACCUUGAAAACCGGGUGCUACUGAGGAGACAAGACUUUCAAAGUGAAUAUAAAAGAAAAAAAAAGCAAUCAUAAGUGAAAAGCCCACAUUUCGAAGAUACAAAACACAUCUAAGCUUUCAGUUAUUGUAAUUAUAGUCAUUUGAAACUAUAAAAGGAAAUAUUCCAUAAAUGUUCAUUUUAUAAAUAUAUGCUGAACAUUGAAUAGUGCCUCAGUAUCACACUAAAUAUUAUGAGAAAUAAGCACAACAUGGAAGGAUUCAUCUAUUUUUCAAGACAUUUAUGAUCUAGUAAGGAAGAACAUAUUAAUACACAAACAUAGAGCAGCAAAAUUUUGAAAGGAAUAAAUUAAUUACUGAAUAUGAGACACCAACCACUCUUGAACUACACCAAGGAUUAGUAACAUUCGUAAAUGCUGUAUAACUUUAAUUCAUAUUUGAUUACUCUCAACUUUUGCAGAUGUUUGAGCUUACCUUUUACCACUUAACUAAAAUGCAAGUUCCUUUCCCAUAUAGGAAAUCCAGACCCCAUAAGACAUAAACUGUACUUGUAUCACUUCCUAUCAUUCUGCUUUGACUGUCUAGGAUUCUGCACUCAUUGCUUUUGCCUGUUCCAUCAUUGGUUCUCUUUCAUAAGCCUAUUAUGUCCACUCAACUUCACACCAAGUCCGGAAUAUAUAGCCACACUUUGCCUUCUCUAAAAUAUUUAUGUGAAAUUCUAUAGGGUUUAACAAUUUGACACAGCAUCUUCAGGAUUUCAUCAAGAAAUUACAAUGUAGAAAAGAAACUUAAAAUUGGUUGCAAAUUAGUAUGUUUUCUGGAAUGUAUCCAAGACUCCAACUAUUCCAAGAAUCUAAGAUCAUUCUCUCCCAACUAUCUAAAUCUCCACACUCUUUUCUCUGGUCUCUUCAAUACAAAUCCCCAAACCAGUUAAUAUCACACACUUCAAAAUUAUGGCACUGCUCAGAAUGUAACCAGACUUACACAAGGGCUGAUCAAAAAAAUAUGGUGUGUGUUUAAAUAAGCAUUAUAGUAAAAGACACAUUUCCAUUAUUCCUCCUCAAAAUAAUCCCUCUUACUGCAAACUCAUGUAUUCUACCAUUCUUGUCAUUUUCUAAAGCACUUCUGGAAGUCCUUUUCUAUGCGUAGCAUUAGUAAUUGUUUCAUCACUACCUCAAUAUACUGAAUCAAUACAAAAGGUUUACUUUUCACAGACAUUUCAACUUAUGCAUGAUCUAAAUGUCCUAUGGUGUAAAUAAGGCGGAUGAGAACACACCAUGCUUUUAUAAGCUUGCCUUUCCACUGGAUAGCACUUAGAAGAAGCUUUCACUAUGUUUUUGAUCACCACUUAUAUAUAAUUGACAUAACCUUUUAAAUCCUUUCAAAUAAAGCAUUUCCU
RNAcentral lists this long non-coding RNA (1659 nucleotides) under Fukomys damarensis (Damara mole-rat). Its description in RNAcentral is "lncRNA (ENSFDAG00000027175.1)". The record is from RNAcentral. Lineage: Eukaryota; Metazoa; Chordata; Mammalia; Rodentia; Bathyergidae.